AAAACGACUCUCGGCAACGGAUAUCUAGGCUCUCGCAUCGAUGAAGAACGUAGCGAAAUGCGAUACUUGGUGUGAAUUGCAGAAUCCCGCGAAUCAUCSMGUUUUUGAACGCAAGUUGCGCCCGAAGCCAUUCGGCCGAGGGCACGUCUGCCUGGGUGUCACGC
RNAcentral lists this ribosomal RNA (164 nucleotides) under Quercus pungens. RNAcentral describes it as "5.8S ribosomal RNA". It matches the Rfam family "5.8S ribosomal RNA". From Rfam's summary of the family: 5.8S ribosomal RNA (5.8S rRNA) is a component of the large subunit of the eukaryotic ribosome. It is transcribed by RNA polymerase I as part of the 45S precursor that also contains 18S and 28S rRNA. Functionally, it is thought that 5.8S rRNA may be involved in ribosome translocation. The record is from RNAcentral. Lineage: Eukaryota; Viridiplantae; Streptophyta; Magnoliopsida; Fagales; Fagaceae.